GGAGAAAAGCAGGGGAUCGCAAGACCUUGCGCUCUUGGAGCGGCCGAUGUCUGAUUAGCUAGUUGGUGAGGUAAAGGCUUACCAAGGCGACGAUCAGUAGCUGGUCUGAGAGGACGACCAGCCACACUGGGACUGAGACACGGCCCAGACUCCUACGGGAGGCAGCAGUGGGGAAUUUUGGACAAUGGGGGAAACCCUGAUCCAGCCAUGCCGCGUGAGUGAAGAAGGCCUUCGGGUUGUAAAGCUCUUUCAGCCGGAACGAAACGGUCACGGCUAAUACCUGUGAUCACUGACGGUACCGGAAGAAGAAGCACCGGCUAACUACGUGCCAGCAGCCGCGGUAAUACGUAGGGUGCGAGCGUUAAUCGGAAUUACUGGGCGUAAAGCGUGCGCAGGCGGUUUUGUAAGUCAGAUGUGAAAUCCCCGGGCUUAACCUGGGAACUGCGUUUGAAACUACAAAGCUAG
RNAcentral lists this ribosomal RNA (465 nucleotides) under uncultured Pseudomonadota bacterium. RNAcentral's name for it is "bacterial SSU rRNA". It matches the Rfam family "Bacterial small subunit ribosomal RNA", at positions 198 to 644 of the family's 1533-position model. Lineage: Bacteria; Pseudomonadati; Pseudomonadota. The record is from RNAcentral.